CUUCAAGAUUGUGUUACAUGUGGCCACAUCACAUAAAGCCAGUGAUGUUAGCGUCGAGAGUAGAUUACUUUCACCGAUAUCAGUAGUGACAUGAUUCGUUAUCCACAACCAUAGACAUCUCACACGAAUGUUCGUUAGUGGCACAGAUCACUUAUAAAGUUGCACUGAUACUACUAUAUCGUGAAAAGUUGUCUGUGGUUUGUCGUUCAUGGUUUAUGUCGUAUCCAACAAACUGUUAUCACUCAUAACAUAACGAUUAUCAUUGAUGACAGCACGAGCAAAAGCAGUGGGAUUGGAAAAUUGAGCUACUACCGUUGGAAGAAUUGGAUCACUUAUUAAUGUUGGAUCUACUCUAAGACGGAUCUCCGUAGUCCAGGGGCCAACAGCUCUAAUGUGAACUGUUAAGUAUGACUCGUUUGGUGCGGAAGAUAAAGUGAAAGGAUGGUACUCGUUGGGAUUAAAAUCUGAACAUGCAAUUCUGACCCACUGUCCAGAUUUAUAUUGGAAAUUUGGUGGCUUCCUGAAUUUGAG
Athalia rosae (coleseed sawfly) is the source of this 531-nucleotide long non-coding RNA. RefSeq lists it as uncharacterized. Lineage: Eukaryota; Metazoa; Arthropoda; Insecta; Hymenoptera; Athaliidae. The record is from RefSeq and is a predicted model, not a curated record. The transcript is spliced from 2 exons.